GAUGAACGCUGGCGGCGUGCCUAAUACAUGCAAGUCGAGCGAACAGACGAGGAGCUUGCUCCUCUGACGUUAGCGGCGGACGGGUGAGUAACACGUGGAUAACCUACCUAUAAGACUGGGAUAACUUCGGGAAACCGGAGCUAAUACCGGAUAAUAUAUUGAACCGCAUGGUCCAAUAGUGAAAGCCGGUUUGUCGUUCACUUAUAGAUGGAUCCGCGCCGCAUUAGCUAGUUGGUAAGGUAACGGCUUACCAAGGCAACGAUGCGUAGCCGACCUGAGAGGGUGAUCGGCCACACUGGAACUGAGACACGGUCCAGACUCCUACGGGAGGCAGCAGUAGGGAAUCUUCCGCAAUGGGCGAAAGCCUGACGGAGCAACGCCGCGUGAGUGAUGAAGGUCUUCGGAUCGUAAAACUCUGUUAUUAGGGAAGAACAAAUGUGUAAGUAACUAUGCACGUCUUGACGGUACCUAAUCAGAAAGCCACGGCUAACUACGUG
This 497-nucleotide ribosomal RNA is filed under the name uncultured bacterium. RNAcentral's name for it is "partial 16S ribosomal RNA". It matches the Rfam family "Bacterial small subunit ribosomal RNA", at positions 28 to 507 of the family's 1533-position model. The record is from RNAcentral.